GUCGCCGUGGUGUAGUGGUAGCCCCCUCGACUCGUAUUCGAGAGGUCCGUGGUUUGAGUCCCGGCGAAGGCG
This 72-nucleotide transfer RNA is filed under the name Stegodyphus mimosarum. It matches the Rfam family "tRNA". Rfam says of the family: Transfer RNA (tRNA) molecules are approximately 80 nucleotides in length. Their secondary structure includes four short double-helical elements and three loops (D, anti-codon, and T loops). The record is from Rfam by way of RNAcentral. Lineage: Eukaryota; Metazoa; Arthropoda; Arachnida; Araneae; Eresidae.